This 514-nucleotide ribosomal RNA is filed under the name uncultured bacterium. RNAcentral describes it as "bacterial SSU rRNA". It matches the Rfam family "Bacterial small subunit ribosomal RNA", at positions 56 to 524 of the family's 1533-position model. The record is from RNAcentral.
UGCAAGUCGAACGCACUGUGGUUCAACUGAUUUGAAGAGCUUGCUCUGAUAUGACGAUGAACAUUGCAGUGAGUGGCGAACGGGUGAGUAACACGUGGGAAACCUACCUCUUAGCGGGGGAUAACAUCUGGAAACAGAUGCUAAUACCGCAUAACACUAGCAACCGCAUGGUUGCUACUUGAAAGAUGGUUCUGCUAUCACUAAGAGAUGGUCCCGCGGCGCAUUAGUUAGUUGGUGAGGUAAUGGCUCACCAAGACGAUGAUGCGUAGCCGAGUUGAGAGACUGAUCGGCCACAAUGGGACUGAGACACGGCCCAUACUCCUACGGGAGGCAGCAGUAGGGAAUCUUCCACAAUGGACGAAAGUCUGAUGGAGCAACGCCGCGUGUGUGAUGAAGGGUUUCGGCUCGUAAAACACUGUUGUAAGAGAAGAAUAGCAUUGAGAGUAACUGCUCAGUGUCUGACGGUAUCUUACCAGAAAGGAACGGCUAAAUACGUGCCAGCAGCCGCGGUAAU